AUGUUACCGCCAAAAAUACGUGUCCAUAUUCAAAUAAGACAAGAUGACGCCCUUCUCCUAUUUUAGCCAGCACUCUCCACAGAGCACCACCUUCCAUUUAUCUUGCGACGACGAGCCUCUUCAAGCACCAGCUCUUCGCACUCGACACAGAAUCAUGUCCGACGAAGGAAAACUUUUCGUCGGUGGCCUGAGCUUCGACACCACAGAGGAGUCUCUGGCGGAAGCUUUCGCCAAGUAUGGAAACAUCGCGAAAGUUGAUGUCAUCAGGGACAAAGAAACGGGAAGGUCUCGUGGAUUCGGCUUCGUAAAGUACGAUAAUGCCGAGGAUGCGAAGGACGCAUUGGAGGGAAUGAACGGCAAGUCUGUCGAUGGCAGAACCAUUCGUGUGGAUGAAGCCGGCAAGGGUGGUGGUCGCUCGGGAGGUGGAGGUGGCGGUGGAUUCAGAGGUUCCAGGGGCGGUGGCGGAUAUGGUGGUGGAGGUGGCUAUGGAGGGGGGAGAGGAAGAGGUGGGCGAGUUUACUCGCGAGGUGGUGGAGGAUAUGGUGGCGGUGACAGGGGAUAUGGUGAGAGGAGCUAUGGUGGUGGUGGAGGAGACCGCAGCUAUGGGGGUGGAGACCGCAGCUACGGGGGUGGCGGUGGAUACAGGAGCGGCGGUGGCGGAGGGUACUCUUCUGGUGGCGGAGGAUACAGAGACAAUAGGGGCCAGGGAGGCUACGGGGACCGCUCUGGGGGUUCCUAUAGAGACAGCUACGACAGUUAAGGAUGACUUUACCCUCUGGAGACUAACCUGUCCUGAACUAUCCCGUGUCAGAUGGUGAUGAGCUGGAGUUGCAGUUACUGCUUGCAGCUACAUUUUUUUUCAGGUCCAGUGUAUGGCGUUGACGUGCGUGUGUGCAGAAGUGGAGUCCGAAAUCUGCAUUAGUCCGAAGACUUGUACAUUAAAAUAUAAAAUAAUCAUCAACAAUUAAGGUCCUACAAGCUGCACCUCAUUUAGGAAACUGCUGUUAGGUGAAGAUUUGCACUAUACUGACAUGUUACAGAAGAAACAUGCACUUGUUUUAAUUUGAGUUUCAACAUUUCAUGGCUCAGUUGUUGGUGUUCAUGGCUGUGUAACAUGUUGGCGCAUGUGUUCAACUAGUUUUAAUGUGAUGAAUUUAUAUAUGAUGUAUUGUGAAUUCAAGUAUCUUCAAUAAAGGUGCAAAUCAUUAAGUGCUCAAUCCCA
RNA transcript from Oncorhynchus keta (chum salmon), 1222 nucleotides. It is a transcript of the gene named cold-inducible RNA-binding protein B-like, with no coding region annotated. The transcript has 8 exons. The record is from RefSeq and is a predicted model, not a curated record. NCBI's taxonomy places the organism in Eukaryota, Metazoa, Chordata, Actinopteri, Salmoniformes, Salmonidae.